AGGACUACCUAAAAUGUCACCGGAUGUGACAGUAAAACAGUUUCAAUGGAUUGUAUUUAACAGUUUUUUAUUCUUAAAUAUAUUUGUAAAAUAUCAUGCGAUAUUCUUUCUAAGAUUGAAUUAUUUUCGAGAGCUCUGAGCUGUCCGGCGUCUGUUCAUUUAAUGUCCUCCUUCGACUACCAGUCUGCGCUUCAGAACUCUGCCGCCAGCACAGAUUUGUGAUAAGGUGGUUGCUAUUGUGUCGGUGUGUUGUAGUAUAGUUAUGGAUACCAUGAUCUACAACUAAUUUUAUCCUUAGUUUCUGUGGAGACGAUUCACAAGAAAUAGUUGGCUUUACAUGAGGAUCGUAAGAGUGGAGUUAAAUAGCUCAGUGGUUAAUAUGCUUGCCUUCUGAUCCCAGGAUCUUGUGUUCAAUCCCUGCCACAGCAGGAAAUUUCUCACGACGAAAAACAACCCCACACCUUAAGCCUCGUAUACAGCAUCAUUCUCAUUAAGUGGCGAGUGCACAUGUUGCUGGAUGUGAAGGAAAAAAAAGUUCCAGGGACAUGGUAUUAUGUGGACGCUUGUACUGACCAGUGUGAAUUUAUGCAAUAAUGUAUAGAAGCACCUAAGUGCCAUUCGACUUGACGACUUGUCAAGAUAAUUAUGUUGUCAAGUCGACAUAAUAUACAUAUCAUGUUGACAUGAAGAAGAAAAAUGAUUUGACGGAAGUUAAUCAUGAAUACGCUCACGAAUAUUUGUGGAUAUAUUACCAAUGAAAUUAAACUGUACCGUUAGAAGUCUUGGAUAAUCAAGAGAAAUUUUGCAACUGCGCUUACGAAAUCGUUUGCUUGUAGCUACAGUAGCCCGUUUUCGAAUACCUGUUUUACAGUGUGCUGCGUUUGACGUCCUUUGAGGGAAAACCCCUUUAACUCUCGUGAGGGCGUAAACCAGAAAAAGAUCGUUAUGAAAAAUUAUUCCUAUCGAGAUCAACAUAAGCACUACCAUAAGAUUUCAGGAAGUUUCUAAAUGAAGGAAAUAUAAUUCGAGCAUGUCAUGCAGGCUGUGUGGCGUAGGCUUCAAAAUGUGUCAGUGCUGGCUACAAUGAGGACUCACACGACACAGGCUACAGAGAAGUGUAUGCAUGGAGAAUGGUAAGGAUUGAUCAUGGUAGGCUCUGUGUAAUACAACAGUGAUGAGUUUGUCAUCAUCCUCUUUAACCUUUCAAUUUCAGCGUAAUCAUCUAAUAAAUAAUAUAACCAUUUAUAUAGCGCUCAUUACUCAGGUGUUAAAUCAAGAUAAACAAGGCAUCUGCAGGAUGUCACAGCGCUUUAUGUAAAAGAAUUAUUGAAUAAGAUGCGUUUAGAGGGCCGACUUAAAUUUUUUUAAACGUGGGACUUGUCGAACUUCACCACAUGGUUCGUUCAAAAGAGACGGUGUCGAAGCACAGAAGCCUUUGACAGCCGUGAAAUUUGAAAGGUUGGUCUUAUAUAGGUACAUGUCAUCUUAGCUUUGUCAAUAAAUUUAUAGUAAUAAGUAAUUAUACGUAAAAUAAAAUAAUUUUUUUAAUUUAAUUGUUAACGAAAUAUUUAAUACUACUAUUUUAACAAAUACUUUUUGUAUACCAUUUAAUGUCAAUACCAAAUACAGUCUUCAGGCGGAUGUGUACAACUGAUGUUAUUUCAAGGAAAACAUAUCAUUAAUUAAGAAGCAAAUUCGUAGUGAUUAAAUGGGCCUAUUGUCUAGAUGGGAGAUUGUUUAUCUUCAUUGGUUUCUUAGCAGGAAUUUCCUCCUGUGCCUACAAAUGUAUGUUACCGUAAUUCAUUUCAGAAAUUGAAUGAUGAAUAAAAAAGACUUUAAACGCAA
Molecule: long non-coding RNA, 1845 nt
Organism: Anneissia japonica
Lineage: Eukaryota; Metazoa; Echinodermata; Crinoidea; Comatulida; Comatulidae
Exons: 3
Source: RefSeq, a predicted model, not a curated record